Molecule: unclassified non-coding RNA, 268 nt
Filed under: uncultured fungus
Lineage: Eukaryota; Fungi
Description: sequence contains ITS1, 5.8S rRNA gene
Rfam family: 5.8S ribosomal RNA (bases 220-268)
Source: RNAcentral
UUUCCGUAGGUGAACCUGCGGAAGGAUCAUUAAUGAAUUUAACAGCAGAGUUGUCGCUGGCCAUCUGGCAUGUGCACGCUCUGCUAAUUCAUCCACACACCUCUGUGCACCUUUCAUAGAUUGACAUACGGUAGAGUUCAUUCUUUGCCAGUCUUUCUGUGUUAUAUCACUACAAACAUCAGUAUUAGAAUGUCUACUUGCGAUAAACGCAUCAAAUACAACUUUCAACAACGGAUCUCUUGGCUCUCGCAUCGAUGAAGAACGCAGC